UACCGACGCACAUUAAAAGCGUCGCGGUCUGAAAGCCGGCUCGUCCCCCGCCGCUUCAGGCUUCCAGAACAAAGGCCUUAUCCCCCCUCUCCGGGCCUUUGUUCUUAUUUUUGAAAGAGUCGCUACAGUAUCCCCCCAUGCUGUGGCGACUUUUU
This 155-nucleotide small RNA is filed under the name Rhizobium oryziradicis. Its description in RNAcentral is "Alphaproteobacterial sRNA ar7". It matches the Rfam family "Alphaproteobacterial sRNA ar7". Lineage: Bacteria; Pseudomonadati; Pseudomonadota; Alphaproteobacteria; Hyphomicrobiales; Rhizobiaceae. The record is from Rfam by way of RNAcentral.